This 687-nucleotide ribosomal RNA is filed under the name uncultured bacterium. RNAcentral describes it as "bacterial SSU rRNA". It matches the Rfam family "Bacterial small subunit ribosomal RNA", at positions 120 to 823 of the family's 1533-position model. The record is from RNAcentral.
AGGAACCUGCCUCAAAGAGGGGGACAACAGUUGGAAACGACUGCUAAUACCGCAUAAGCCCACGGGUCGGCAUCGACCAGAGGGAAAAGGAGCAAUCCGCUUUGAGAUGGCCUCGCGUCCGAUUAGCUAGUUGGUGAGGUAAUGGCCCACCAAGGCGACGAUCGGUAGCCGGACUGAGAGGUUGAACGGCCACAUUGGGACUGAGACACGGCCCAGACUCCUACGGGAGGCAGCAGUGGGGAAUAUUGCACAAUGGGGGAAACCCUGAUGCAGCGACGCCGCGUGGAGGAAGAAGGUCUUCGGAUUGUAAACUCCUGUUGUUGGGGAAGAUAAUGACGGUACCCAACAAGGAAGUGACGGCUAACUACGUGCCAGCAGCCGUGGUAAAACGUAGGUCACAAGCGUUGUCCGGAAUUACUGGGUGUAAAGGGAGCGCAGGCGGGAAGACAAGUUGGAAGUGAAAUCUAUGGGCUCAACCCAUAAACUGCUUUCAAAACUGUUUUUCUUGAGUAGUGCAGAGGUAGGCGGAAUUCCCGGUGUAGCGGUGGAAUGCGUAGAUAUCGGGAGGAACACCAGUGGCGAAGGCGGCCUACUGGGCACCAACUGACGCUGAGGCUCGAAAGUGUGGGUAGCAAACAGGAUUAGAUACCCUGGUAGUCCACACCGUAAACGAUGAUUACUAGGUGU